UGUGCAGCCCGCCCGCCCCUCGCGUCGCCGCCGCCGCCGCCGCCGCUGCCGCCGCCCCGGGUCAUGGUGCUGGGCCGCGGGCUGCUCGGCCUCCGGAGCGUCUCCGCACUGGGAGCCGCCUGCGCCCUCCGCGGCCUGGGUCCGGCCCUGCUGGGCGUCCUUCUCCAUCACACGGACUGUAGGAAGAGCUCCACCAUGAACCAGGGAACCCUGAGGGUCGAGUUGCUGCCCGCGCUGACCGACAACUACAUGUACCUGAUCAUCGACGGCGAGACCAAGGAGGCCGCCAUCGUGGACCCGGUGCAGCCUCAGAAGGUCGUAGAAACGGUGAGAAAGCACGGCGUGAAGCUGACCACAGUGCUCACCACCCACCACCACUGGGACCACGCUGGUGGGAACGAGAAGCUGGUCAAGUUGGAGCCUGGGUUGAAGGUGUGUGGGGGCGAUGACCGGAUCGGGGCACUGACUCACAAGGUCGCGCAUCUGUCCACACUGCAGGUGGGGUCUCUCAACAUCAAGUGCCUGUCGACACCGUGCCACACUUCCGGCCACAUCUGCUACUUCGUGAGCAAGCCCGGGAGCUCUGAGCCUCCUGCUGUGUUCACAGGCGACACCUUGUUCGUGGCUGGUUGUGGGAAGUUCUACGAAGGGACAGCGGACGAGAUGUACAAAGCCCUGCUUGAGAUCCUGGGCCGGCUCCCUCCAGACACGAGAGUGUACUGCGGCCACGAAUAUACCAUCAACAACCUCAAGUUCGCGCGCCACGUGGAGCCCAACAAUACUGCCAUUCAGGAGAAACUGGCCUGGGCCAAGGAGGUGGAGAAGGAAUUCUCAGGAGGAGUGAAUACUGGAGGAAGCAGGGAAUAUUCUAAAACACCCAGCUUGUUUUCACCAGAAGGGGAGGAUCAGAGAUUAGCGACAAGCCUUCAUCUUGACCUCCCGCCAGACCCCUGCUUGGCAUCCCACCAGCGGUUGAAGGAUCAUCUCUUGCCACCACUGGUCACGUUUGGGGGUGGCACGGGGACCCUCGGGUCUGAGGGCCCUGCGUGUGGGUGCCGACAGGUGCUGUCCAAGCUCUGACCCUGUGGCCCUUGAGAUCAGCCCGGCAGAAGAAGGGCAGGGGCCGCAGGGAGGGCGGAGACCCCCAGCUGCCAGCUGACGUCCUGCACAGGUCCGUACAGGAGUGACCAGUGGGCCAGAUGGUGCUGAUCAGGAGUGAAACCAUCCCGACUGGAGGGCUCGUCCUGGGUUUUUCUCCAGGGGAGCCUGUGACGAGAGCUUGCCGCCUUCCAGAGGGGCUGUGAGCCCAGGGCAGGGACCACGGGCACCUGUCACCUCGCUCUUGCAAGCAGUGAGCUGUGCGUGGCCCAUGACUGGUCUCGGUGCAGGGCUGGUGGUGUUUUCUUCUGCGUUUUCUGCGUUUUUGCUGGUUAUUUUAUCAUGUAAAACACACACUUCAUAUCAGCGUAAAAGUUUUCGCGUCCCCUUCCACUUCCAGGACAGCAAGGGGAGAAGGGACAACUCGUCGGUGGUGGCCGGGACACUCGCGUCUCCACAGCGGGAAGGGGCCCGUCCUUGCACUGACCUGACCCCGUUCACUUUGCCUUCUGAGUUGGAUGGUAUUUUAAGAUUAGAAAGUACUGUGAAACGUUCCUUUAGACGUUUCCGUGUUCACGUGACCUCUGUCCUCUGCAGGAGAAGUACGGUAUCGGGGAGCCCACAGUGCCGUCCACCAUCGCGGAGGAGUUCACCUACAACCCGUUCAUGAGAGUGAGCCUGGCCUUCGGCUUCUGCAGGGAGAAGACAGUGCAGCAGCAUGCCGGUGAGA
Prionailurus viverrinus (fishing cat) is the source of this 1828-nucleotide RNA transcript. It is a transcript of the gene named hydroxyacylglutathione hydrolase, with no coding region annotated. NCBI's taxonomy places the organism in Eukaryota, Metazoa, Chordata, Mammalia, Carnivora, Felidae. The record is from RefSeq and is a predicted model, not a curated record. The transcript has 9 exons.